RNAcentral lists this long non-coding RNA (1183 nucleotides) under Taeniopygia guttata (zebra finch). Its description in RNAcentral is "lncRNA (ENSTGUG00000020065.1)". The stretch from base 173 to 446 matches the Rfam family "SOX2 overlapping transcript exon 3". The record is from RNAcentral. Lineage: Eukaryota; Metazoa; Chordata; Aves; Passeriformes; Estrildidae.
AUUUUACUCAUUUGAUUUCUUUUUUCUUGUAGUCUUCUUGUCCAGUUCUCAGGUGUUUACCACCUAUCAGAAUUUCACCUGUAUGGGUCCUGUGCUUGAGAAAGUCCCAGGACCUGUCAGCUGCAUAGGCCUCAUAAAAGACAGCUCUGUUCAGGGUCUGAAAGGGACUGCAGUUAAGAGCUAGGGCUAGGACUUGGAGGAUGUGUAGGCAAAACGGAAAGAGAGCCGGGGGAAGAAAAACCGAAAUGGAUUCAUUCUCUGUCCUGGAUGGAGGAGGAGAGGAGAAGAGAAGAGAAGGGGACGUGCGAGCUUCCUUCAACUGCCUCUGUCCGGUGAAAAGUGCUCAGACCCCCGGGGCUGCGCCGGACUCCGGAGUCCGCGCGGACUUUCGCGCUGAGCUGCCAAUCAAACCGCUCACAGCCACCACCCUGCUCUGGCACCGACAUGGUCUGUGUGAUCUCCUCCAGGAGAGGCGACUCAGCAGCUCGGUCCCCUCUGCCAUCUCAGCACUGCCAGGGGAGCAGCCCAGGAGGAGCAGAGCAGUGGCUGAGCAGCAAUUUGAAUAUCCAUAUUUAACUCUUCAAACAACAGAAGAUACUUCAGAACCAUGUUAAGAAGGAUAAGCUUGGAGUGCCCAGUCACCGUGGUAACUGCCAGAAAAAUUCUCCUGAAGUUUGAAGAGGUCAGCUAACGGGGUCAACAACUCUGGCCUCUCUCUGAGCUGGGCCUGGCAGGCUCCAUCCUGCGGUUGGGGUGUUAGCGCAGGCUGAGCCCUGGGAGGUGGACCAUUCCAGCUCUGAUAUAAAUUUUUUGAGUCAGUUCACGGCCUGGACUCUCCAGGUGGCCUCCAAAAUCGAUUGUGACCUUGUGACCCUGUCUAACGGAGGCAUAGCAUCCAACCUAAGUAAGGAUUUAGCCAGGAACGACAGCUUUCCACUGAGUGUUAUUGGGGACAGUACAAACAGUUUGGGAAGCAAGGAGGUAGGUAUGAGGAGUGGAGGUCAUUAAAAGCAUAUUAAAAAACAAUGUUAAAAAUCCUUUUUAGUUGAAAGUUUUUAUUUGCAGUAACCAUUCCUUAAAUAAACCCUUCUGGCAACUAUUUUUUCCUUCUAUAAUAACAUUGCGUCAAGUGCUUCAGUGCAUUAAUAUACGAAAAAUCGGCACUUUGCGUAUUCCAAACCAA